UACAUGUGGGGCAAGCGUUGUUCGGAAUUACUGGGCAUAAAGGGUGCGUAGGCGGUUUUGUAAGUCGGGCGUGAAAUCCGAUGGCCCAACCAUCGAACUGCGCUUGAUACUGCGAGACUUGAGUGCGUGAGGGGAGACUGGAACGAGUGGUGUAGCGGUGAAAUGCGUAGAUAUCACUCGGAACGCCAACGGCGAAGGCAGGUCUCUGGUACGCAACUGACGCUGAGGCACGAAAGCGUGGGGAGCAAACAGG
This 253-nucleotide ribosomal RNA is filed under the name uncultured bacterium. Its description in RNAcentral is "partial 16S ribosomal RNA". It matches the Rfam family "Bacterial small subunit ribosomal RNA", at positions 524 to 776 of the family's 1533-position model. The record is from RNAcentral.